AAACUGCGAUAAGUAGUGUGAAUUGCAUUUAGUGAAUCAUCGAAUCUUUGAACGCACCUUGCACUCACUGGUAUUCCGGUGAGUACGCCUGUUUCAGUAUCAUUGAAAACACACAAUCAAAACUUUUUUUUGGUUUAUGAUUGGCCUUGGGCUUAUUACAGUUUGGUUCAUUCAUUUGGAUCAAGCGGCCUGGAAUAGAUUGUCUGGCUAAUUGCAUCGUUGAUGAUCGCUAUUAGACUUUGGCUUUUUUAAAUGAACUGGAGGUUGAUUAACCAGUUUUAGCUUUAGUCGAAUGGUCAUUGUAAAUCGAUCUUGGUCCAGCGGUUGAGGAUAACCGGAAAACAAAACCAUAACAAUCACUUUUUUCGUAUCGAUCUGAAAUCAGGUGGGACUACCCGCU
Molecule: unclassified non-coding RNA, 400 nt
Filed under: uncultured fungus
Lineage: Eukaryota; Fungi
Description: sequence contains ITS1
Rfam family: 5.8S ribosomal RNA (bases 1-102)
Source: RNAcentral